CCUACGGGUGGCAGCAGUGAGGAAUAUUGGUCAAUGGACGAGAGUCUGAACCAGCCAAGUAGCGUGAAGGAUGACUGCCCUAUGGGUUGUAAACUUCUUUUAUAUGGGAAUAAAACGUUCCACGUGUGGGAUUUUGUAUGUACCAUAUGAAUAAGGAUCGGCUAACUCCGUGCCAGCAGCCGCGGUAAUACGGAGGAUCCGAGCGUUAUCCGGAUUUAUUGGGUUUAAAGGGAGCGUAGGUGGAUUGUUAAGUCAGUUGUGAAAGUUUGCGGCUCAACCGUAAAAUUGCAGUUGAAACUGGCAGUCUUGAGUACAGUAGAGGUGGGCGGAAUUCGUGGUGUAGCGGUGAAAUGCUUAGAUAUCACGAAGAACUCCGAUUGCGAAGGCAGUUCACUGGCCUGCAACUGACACUGAGGCUCGAAAGUGUGGGUAUCAAACAGGAUUAGAUACCCUUGUAGUC
RNAcentral lists this ribosomal RNA (460 nucleotides) under uncultured bacterium. Its description in RNAcentral is "partial 16S ribosomal RNA". It matches the Rfam family "Bacterial small subunit ribosomal RNA", at positions 338 to 795 of the family's 1533-position model. The record is from RNAcentral.